AUAUGGUCAAGUGAAGAAGCGCAUACGGUGGAUGCCUUGGCAGUCAGAGGCGAUGAAAGACGUGGUAGCCUGCGAAAAGCUUCGGGGAGUCGGCAAACAGACUUUGAUCCGGAGAUGUCUGAAUGGGGGAACCCAGCCAUCAUAAGAUGGUUAUCUUGUACUGAAUACAUAGGUGCAAGAGGCGAACCAGGGGAACUGAAACAUCUAAGUACCCUGAGGAAAAGAAAUCAACCGAGAUUCCCUUAGUAGUGGCGAGCGAACGGGGACUAGCCCUUAAGUGGCUUUGAGAUUAGCGGAACGCUCUGGAAAGUGCGGCCAUAGUGGGUGAUAGCCCUGUACGCGAAAAUCUCUUAGUCAUGAAAUCGAGUAGGACGGAGCACGAGAAACUUUGUCUGAAUAUGGGGGGACCAUCCUCCAAGGCUAAAUACUACUGACUGACCGAUAGUGAACUAGUACCGUGAGGGAAAGGCGAAAAGAACCCCGGAGAGGGGAGUGAAAUAGAUCCUGAAACCGUAUGCGUACAAGCAGUGGGAGCCCACUUUGUUGGGUGACUGCGUACCUUUUGUAUAAUGGGUCAGCGACUUAUUUUCAGUGGCGAGCUUAACCGAAUAGGGGAGGCGUAGCGAAAGCGAGUCUUAAUAGGGCGUCUAGUCGCUGGGAAUAGACCCGAAACCGGGCGAUCUAUCCAUGGGCAGGUUGAAGGUUGGGUAACACUAACUGGAGGACCGAACCGACUACCGUUGAAAAGUUAGCGGAUGACCUGUGGAUCGGAGUGAAAGGCUAAUCAAGCUCGGAGAUAGCUGGUUCUCCUCGAAAGCUAUUUAGGUAGCGCCUCAUGUAUCACUGUAGGGGGUAGAGCACUGUUUCGGCUAGGGGGUCAUCCCGACUUACCAAACCGAUGCAAACUCCGAAUACCUACAAGUGCCGAGCAUGGGAGACACACGGCGGGUGCUAACGUCCGUCGUGAAAAGGGAAACAACCCAGACCGUCAGCUAAGGUCCCAAAGUUAUGGUUAAGUGGGAAACGAUGUGGGAAGGCUUAGACAGCUAGGAGGUUGGCUUAGAAGCAGCCACCCUUUAAAGAAAGCGUAAUAGCUCACUAGUCGAGUCGGCCUGCGCGGAAGAUGUAACGGGGCUCAAACCAUACACCGAAGCUACGGGUAUCACGUAAGUGAUGCGGUAGAGGAGCGUUCUGUAAGCCUGUGAAGGUGAGUUGAGAAGCUUGCUGGAGGUAUCAGAAGUGCGAAUGCUGACAUGAGUAACGAUAAUGGGUGUGAAAAACACCCACGCCGAAAGACCAAGGUUUCCUGCGCAACGUUAAUCGACGCAGGGUUAGUCGGUCCCUAAGGCGAGGCUGAAAAGCGUAGUCGAUGGAAAACAGGUUAAUAUUCCUGUACUUCUGGUUAUUGCGAUGGAGGGACGGAGAAGGCUAGGCCAGCUUGGCGUUGGUUGUCCAAGUUUAAGGUGGUAGGCUGGAAUCUUAGGUAAAUCCGGGAUUCUAAGGCCGAGAGCUGAUGACGAGUUA
RNAcentral lists this ribosomal RNA (1524 nucleotides) under Pseudomonas sp. NFACC42-2. RNAcentral's name for it is "bacterial LSU rRNA". It matches the Rfam family "Bacterial large subunit ribosomal RNA", at positions 1 to 1576 of the family's 2925-position model. The record is from RNAcentral. Lineage: Bacteria; Pseudomonadati; Pseudomonadota; Gammaproteobacteria; Pseudomonadales; Pseudomonadaceae.